UACGUAGGUGGCUAGCGUUGUCCGGAUUUAUUGGGCGUAAAGAGCGUGUAGGCGGCCAUGUAGGUCCGGUGUGAAAACUCGAGGCUUAACCUCGAGAUGUCAUCGGAAACCAUUUGGCUAGAGUCCGGAAGAGGAGAGUGGAAUUCCUGGUGUAGCGGUGAAAUGCGCAGAUAUCAGGAAGAACACCAAUGGCGAAAGCAGCUCUCUGGGACGGUACUGACGCUGAGAAGCGAAAGCAUGGGGAGCGAACAGG
RNAcentral lists this ribosomal RNA (253 nucleotides) under uncultured bacterium. Its description in RNAcentral is "partial 16S ribosomal RNA". It matches the Rfam family "Bacterial small subunit ribosomal RNA", at positions 524 to 776 of the family's 1533-position model. The record is from RNAcentral.